CUCAUGUUUUCUUUUUUUGAACGCUUGUGCUGUUUUUCCUUCUCUCUUGUUUCCACAUUCUCCACUUUUCCAAAUGUUGCAGUUCGAGUUUCAUGUAAAUUAGGGCGGGAUUUAGCGUCACCAUUGGUCCACUACAGCUCCUCCUCUAGCCAAUCAAUCCAAGAGGGGAGUUGACGUCCUUCCAUAAUUUAUUUAUUUAUUUAUUUAGAUUUAAAGCCUAUAUUUUUAAUUAGACGUGUUAUUUAGAAUUCAUUCCUCGGCCAUUAAACUUGUAUCCAUGGUAACGCCAUAAAUCCCAUAGAGCACAAUUUUACGUCGCGUGGAGCGUUCACGGUAAAAGGUUCGCGCGCCCCAGAGACGGUAAACUCCGAAAUCUACGUAAAGAGGAAGCGCUCUGGCUCUUUCCAAAAAUGGCGGCCACCAUAGAGAACAGCAGUGCUGCAGCUGCGAAUAAGAAAAAACAUUUAGGAAUUCCUGAAGCAGUGUUUGUAGAGGAUGUGGAUUCCUUUAUGAAGAAGCCCGGCAACGACACGGCAGACGUCGUACUGAGGAAACUUGAUGAACAGUACCAGAAAUAUCAAUACAUGGAAGUCAACCUGGUUCAGAAAAAAAUGAGGUUUGGAGAAAUGUAAUCCUGUCUUGUGAAGUGUUGCUCAAUGGUGGAAGGGUCACUUUGUUAAAAAUGAAAAUUGCAUUAAAUUUCCAUAACUCAGCAGACUGGUGCCAGGGUUAGGCUAGUUUGGCCGCCUGUUAUUGGAGGAUUGUCUUGGUUAUAGAGAUGCACCGAUAUUAAAUUUCUCAGCCGAUAAUAAACUAUAUAACGGACAGUUGUAGAACAUGAAUGAUGAGAAAUGUUUCUGAACACUAGAAGUACUUUGAACAAGAGAACUAGUAAUAAUGUGGACUGUUUUACAUGUAAAUACAAGUACAUCGCAUAUGUAUGAUGUAAAUUGGGACGAAGGGCGCAUCUCAUUAUCCAUGACAUUGUUGAAGCUCCGGCUCUCAGACACUCACUGAACUGAGCAGACGCGGAGAGAGGUGUGAGUGCAGCGGGAAAGCAAGACCUCACUCUUGCAGGAGAGUACUGGCGAUAUUUGGAAAAUUGCUAAGGUUUGUCCAAAAAGUCACUAGAUUUGUUGCUAGGUGCUUUUUUUUGGUAGUUGUUUGUUUUUUGGGGGGUUUUUUGAAGGAAAAAUAAAAGUCACUAAAGGGGUCUGAAAAGUCGCUAAGUUGGCAACAUUGGUCUGCACUGACCGCUAGAUUAAAGGCAGCUAAGCUCCGCCUCUUCCCAUCAGAAAAUGCAGAGGGAGUGGGAAUGUGGGUUUUUCAUUUAUUUGAAAAGACAUUCUAUUUGAAAAGCAAUAAAAUUCAGAGUACCCAAA
Long non-coding RNA from Ictalurus punctatus (channel catfish), 1382 nucleotides. RefSeq lists it as uncharacterized. Lineage: Eukaryota; Metazoa; Chordata; Actinopteri; Siluriformes; Ictaluridae. The transcript is spliced from 2 exons. The record is from RefSeq and is a predicted model, not a curated record.